This is a long non-coding RNA of Nannospalax galili (Upper Galilee mountains blind mole rat), 2105 nucleotides long. RefSeq lists it as uncharacterized. NCBI's taxonomy places the organism in Eukaryota, Metazoa, Chordata, Mammalia, Rodentia, Spalacidae. The transcript has 4 exons. The record is from RefSeq and is a predicted model, not a curated record.
CCGGCAGUCACGCUCCAUCACGUGACGGACGCUGCGCACGUCCUCGAUCCCCGCCGCUCAGGACUCGAACCCGUGUUCCCCUGGCAGCUGUGCGUCUUUGGAGUUCGGGGCUUGGUGGCCACGCGAUUCCUACUCGGAAGGCGCGGGAAAAGGCUGCGAGGCGGUCCCCGCCUCCGAGACCCUGGACCGCGGUCCCAGCGAGGGCAGGGGGCCACCACCCUGGGCCGGCUCGGGGUGGCCUCAGUUUCCCCUGGCUUGUAGGAAACAGCGUCCCAUCGUUGAAGCCAUGGGAGAGAGGGGUGUUCAGUUUGGAGCUCAGACUUUCAAGUGUGACCGGCGUUUGGUGGAGCUCGGGGACAGGCCGUCGCCCUCUGCCCGUGUAUCAGGCACUUAACCUGGUUUGCCCCAGCUUUACAGGUUAGAAAACUGAGGCUCUGGCAGGUUAAACCAUCAGGCCCGACUGAUCAUGGUCGUCGUAAAAGCAGUUAAGAUAUUUGGAUGCAAACCUGGUUCAAAGGCCGGUCUUUUCUUCUGCUGGUAGGACUCAGGAAAAUUUGGACUGCGAGUACGGCUCCCCUUUCCCGGCUGGACUUUACUCCCAACCUCACGCUUCUCCACCCUUCCUUCAUUGCUUCCACAAAUACCGAGCACCCACAUUGUCAGCACUGGGGCUUUGGGGGUAAACGAUGCUGAUCAUCUUGAGGUGUAGAAAGCCCCAGAACAAUCUGUAGGUGGUGUAGAUGUAUGACCUGCUGAGGAGAACCGUGCUAACCUCAGCCCAGCAUGGAACAAGGUGGAGGGUGCUACUGUGCUUUAUGCCUAAAGGCCUGCCUGACCAGAGGCCCCAGUCACAGCAACAUGGACUAGAGGACCUGCAGUCCCAGACAGCUCAUGCUCUGUGUGAACCUUGAAGCUAUAUCUUCUCUGUUGAAGCAAUCUGAGACCUCAGUGUGGAUGACUGUGCAGGGCAGGCUGGUGCUCAAGGUAUACCUGAGAGAAGAGGCAGAGCAAGUCUGAGCAGCUGACCUCUCCACAUUCUUCCAGGCUUCCCCAGAUACCUCCUGUGCCAGCUGUUUUAUACGUUUGCUCACUUAGCCUUACGAUGCAUCUGUGUUCGAAGCCUCCAUACUCAGCUGAAGAAACUCAGAAAAAUGAAGAGAGUCAUCCAAGGCCUUCAGCCAGGGUCCACUGUGCUCAGCCUGGUUUGCCUGUAAAUGUUUCAGCUUUCACUCUCUCAUGUAUGUGCAUGAGUAUGUGAGAGUGCAAGUGUGUGUGUGUCUGUGUGUGUCUGUGUGAUAUGUGCAUGCUUGUAGCCAGAGAAGGAUGUCUGGUAUCUUCCUCUAUUGUUCUCCAACUUUAAAAAAAUGUUUAAAAUUAUGUGUAUAUCUGUGUCUGUGUAGGGGCUUGUGCAAGUGACUAUAGUACCCUUGGAGGCCAGAAGAGGGCAUUAGAUCCCCUAGAGCUACUGGUGGAGUUACUGGUGGUUGUAAGUUGUCCUAUGUGGAUGUUAGGAACCAAAAUCAGGGUCCUCUGUUAAGAGCAGUGUGUGCUCUUAACCAUUGAACCAUCUUUCCAGACCCUCCACCAUAUUUUUUGAGACAGGGUCUCUCACAAAGCCUGAAGCUUGCUGUUUUAGCUAGGCUAGCUGGCCAGUAAGCUCCUGACAUCUCUGUCUCCACCAGUCCCCAGUGCUGGGAUUCUUGUUAAUGUGGGUGCUAUCAAUUUAAACUCCAGUCCUCUUGCUUGCAUAGCAACAGCCCUUACUCACUGAGCCAUCUCCCAGCCCCCAACUUCCUGUUUUAAUAAUGAUAGUGACCCCAGACAUGCCAACCUGCUAUCUGACCAUGGCAUGAUCUAUGUCUAUUACCAUCCAGUUACAGAUGGUAGGUGCUGUCAUUGGACAAUCUCACUUUGAACACAAGCAGUGUGACAAAUGCAGGUGGAUUCUGUGAAUACUUUCUGUUAAUUUAACUCAGAAAGAAUGAGUUUGAGCUGGUUGGGGUGAUUUGUGUUUGUAAUUCCAGCACUUAGGAGGCUGAGGCAGAAGGAUCUUAAUUAAAUUCAAGACCAUCCUGGACUAUAUAGUGACAUCUUGUCCCAAAAAG